CACCCGCCGGCUAAGCCCCAAGAUGGCGAAUCAUCUCUUUAGAGGCUCUUAGGCAUUUUCUCCCGACUAAGAAAAGAAGAGGCAUAGAGGAGACCCAUGGAGAGAACACUGUGUACCAAUGGGGUCAGAGACUGGAUGAUAUUUCUACAAGCCAAGGACCACCAGGAUUGCCAGCCACUGGUGGAAGCUAAAGAAGAGGCUGAGGAUUCUGUUCUAGAGACUUGCAGAGUCCUGGUCCCCCAAACUGCAAAAGAAUACAUUUCUGUUGUUGUAAGCCACCAAGUUCAUGAUAAUUUGUCAC
Suricata suricatta (meerkat) is the source of this 301-nucleotide long non-coding RNA. RefSeq lists it as uncharacterized. The record is from RefSeq and is a predicted model, not a curated record. NCBI's taxonomy places the organism in Eukaryota, Metazoa, Chordata, Mammalia, Carnivora, Herpestidae. The transcript has 3 exons.